This 404-nucleotide ribosomal RNA is filed under the name Fusobacteriota bacterium. RNAcentral's name for it is "Fusobacteria bacterium partial 16S ribosomal RNA". It matches the Rfam family "Bacterial small subunit ribosomal RNA", at positions 355 to 776 of the family's 1533-position model. Lineage: Bacteria; Fusobacteriati; Fusobacteriota. The record is from RNAcentral.
UGGGGAAUAUUGCACAAUGGAGGGAACUCUGAUGCAGCGACGCCGCGUGAGUGAUGAAGGACUUCGUUUCGUAAAACUCUGUUCUAUGGGAAGAAAAGGACUGUACUAUAGGAGAAAGCUCCGGCUAAAUACGUGCCAGCAGCCGCGGUAAUACGUAUGGGGCGAGCGUUGUCCGGAAUUAUUGGGCGUAAAGUGUGCGCAGGCGGCUUUACAAGUUGGAUGUGAAAUAUUGUGGCUCAACCACAAACGUGCAUCCAAAAAUGCAAAGCUUGAGUUAAGGAGAGGUAAGUGGAAUUCCUGGUGUAGCUGUGGAAUGCGUAGAUAUCAGGAGGAAUACCGGUGGCGAAGGCGACUUACUGGCCUUAAACUGACGCUCAGGCACGAAAGCGUGGGGAGCAAACAGG